This 467-nucleotide ribosomal RNA is filed under the name uncultured bacterium. Its description in RNAcentral is "partial 16S ribosomal RNA". It matches the Rfam family "Bacterial small subunit ribosomal RNA", at positions 28 to 506 of the family's 1533-position model. The record is from RNAcentral.
GACGAACGCUGGCGGCGUGCUUAACACAUGCAAGUCGAACGGAAAGGCCCUGCUUUUGUGGGGUGCUCGAGUGGCGAACGGGUGAGUAACACGUGAGUAACCUGCCCUUGACUUUGGGAUAACUUCAGGAAACUGGGGCUAAUACCGGAUAGGAGCUCCUGCUGCAUGGUGGGGGUUGGAAAGUUUCGGCGGUUGGGGAUGGACUCGCGGCUUAUCAGCUUGUUGGUGGGGUAGUGGCUUACCAAGGCUCUGACGGGUAGCCGGCCUGAGAGGGUGACCGGCCACAUUGGGACUGAGAUACGGCCCAGACUCCUACGGGAGGCAGCAGUGGGGAAUAUUGCACAAUGGGCGGAAGCCUGAUGCAGCAACGCCGCGUGCGGGAUGACGGCCUUCGGGUUGUAAACCGCUUUCGCCUGUGACGAAGCGUGAGUGACGGUAAUGGGUAAAGAAGCACCGGCUAACUACGU